CACCUCCACUAUCAGAUGUAGAGGCGCUGGCUAAGUAUUGUUUCCCUGUCCUCCGCAGAAAGCAAAGCCUACUCCGAAAGAAAGCCUACUCUGAGGUCCCUUCAUGUGGCCUUUCUUCUCUCUAAAUCUCCUGUGCCUGGAAGAUAGUCAGUGAACGACUCGGCAACAGAGAACCCAUCACCGGGCCCGGGUGUGUCCAGACACCAGCAGGUCUGGUCUAUCGGAGGUGAGCCGCGUGUUUCCUCAGGUGUUCCGAACAGACCCUUUUCCUCGGCACCGCUUCCGCCUCCGAACACUGGGAGCAGCGGCGAACUCGGCGCUUGCACCUGAGGAGAACGAAAGCGUAUUUUCAUUCCUCUCCCUCUGCCCUCUCACUUGCUCACUCCGCUCCUCAAACAAGCCAGGCUUGUCCCAGCCUCAGGGCCUUUCCGCUCGUUUCCUCUGCCGGGAGCGCUCUUUCCUCAGGUGUGCUCACCACACUCCCUCCCUCAUUCAGGCUCGCCUACAUAUCACCUCCGCCAGCUGCUUCCGAAACCGGCUCCCCACGCCGCUCCAGCAAUCCCUACUCCCCUUGCGCGUUUUAUUUCCCUCUGCUGCCCCUGUCGUUGCCUGGCCUUCUAUCACUGUGCUCGCACAUGCUGUUCGCUGCCUCAUUUCCCCCUUUAGUAAGUUCCAUGAGGGCUGUGUUGUUCCCUGCCGGACCCUCAGUGCUUGUGCGCUAAAACUAUUUACCGAGUGAACGAAGGAAUCAUCAUCCCUGUUGUUACGAGACAGGAGUCUGAGUUACCCUCGGCAUCAGUCGGGAGCCAGCACGCUGGCAGGAGCUGGCCGCCGGAGAGGAGUGCUUGUGUAAGCCCCGCCUAAGGCUGCGCGGUGUGACAGCCUGGAUCACUUGGCUGGUGCAACAACAAAAAUGUCCUGUUCUGGAGGCUAGAAGUCCGACAUCAAAGUGUCAGCAGGGUUCGGUCCCCAUGAGGACUCCGAGGGAGAAUCUCUUCUGUCCUCGGCCCCUGCCCUAGCUUCUGGUGGCUUCCUGGCAAUCCUGGUGUUCCUCGGCUUGUAAAAGCAGCACCUCCAUCUCUGCCUCUGUCUUCACGUGGUAUCCCCCUAUUUUACAUGUCUGUGUCCAAGUUUCCUCUUCUUAUAAAAACACCUGUCCUACUGGGUGAGGGCCCACCCUAAUAUCUCCUCUUAACUCAUGACUUCUGCAACAAUCCUAUUUCCAAAUAAAGGCCUCCUGCCUGGGUACUGGGAGUAGGGC
RNAcentral lists this long non-coding RNA (1261 nucleotides) under Ursus maritimus (polar bear). RNAcentral describes it as "lncRNA (ENSUMAG00000008843.1)". The record is from RNAcentral. Lineage: Eukaryota; Metazoa; Chordata; Mammalia; Carnivora; Ursidae.